AAAGCUUGCUGGAAGAAAAGAUCAGCACCACCAUUUAGUCUCUGCCCUGGCGAAGGUUUGUGGCGGCAAGAUUUUCCGGCUAGCAUUGUCCAGUAUCUGCGUUUUCUAGCCGUGUGUCCACAGGGGCGACAUUGUAUUAGAGUAAAGGACUUUGAUUCGGGACGGUAUCUCGACGAGUAUCUUGAUUACCGGAUUUGACCAUUUUAUUGGAGGCGGAUACUUUGACUUAUGUCUUUUGAUAUGCAUAAUAAAGUGUUUAACAUAUAGCAAUGAUUGUAUUUUU
Molecule: long non-coding RNA, 283 nt
Organism: Zingiber officinale
Lineage: Eukaryota; Viridiplantae; Streptophyta; Magnoliopsida; Zingiberales; Zingiberaceae
Exons: 3
Source: RefSeq, a predicted model, not a curated record